AAUAACUUCAUUUUUCAGUUUUUUGAUACGAUGUUUUAACUCUUCGUCUUAUUUGAAAUUUUUUUGCGAUUAAUAUUUAUUGGUGCUAGAUGAUAAAAUAUGAAUAGUACUUUAUGCAUGACUAAUUUUUAAAAGUUUUUUACAAAUUUUUUGAAAUAAGACGAAUGGUCAAACGUUGGACAGGAAAAAUAAAAAAUGAAGUUAUU
RNAcentral lists this microRNA precursor (206 nucleotides) under Oryza brachyantha (malo sina). RNAcentral describes it as "MIR812 microRNA precursor family". It matches the Rfam family "MIR812 microRNA precursor family". Lineage: Eukaryota; Viridiplantae; Streptophyta; Magnoliopsida; Poales; Poaceae. The record is from Rfam by way of RNAcentral.